ACAUACCAAUGCAAACAUCCUGGGACACUUAGACACAUCCACAAGGGCUGUGUCUCCUCUUAUAUAAGCAAACACAGGAUGAAAUAGAUUAGGAGGUGGGGAGCCUAGAGAUACAAAGAUUUGGCCCUUAGUAAACACACAGAUACAGACACAGACACACACACACCUAAGCGAAGGUGUGUGUGUGUGGGGCUAAUCCAGCAAUAAAUUACCACAGUCAACAGGCUCAUCUCCCUCAACUCAUUAGCAGAUAAAUGAUAUGCCUACAUUCAAAACACUUGUGUGGGUUUUUUAUUUGCUCCACAGGAUGACUGCUCUAUCCUCCAUCUUUCUCUUCUUCCUCCUCCUCCUCUUCCUUGUCUCCUGUGCUGUCUGAGUGUGUCAGCAGUGUGUGGAGCUCCCUGGUGAUGUGGAGCUAGCGCUGACAGUGGAGGAGAGACGCCAGCACUAGCGAUUAGCAUGAGCUUCCAGGGGGCACCGCAACGGCUGCUGGAAAAUUCCAUCAGAGGCACGAAUCUGUCGCUUCGUCGUAAAGUGACAGCCCCCUGUGGCUCAGCACAGCACAGUAAGAAGAGUCCCAAGUGAGCCUCAGCAUCUGCCGGCUGGAGAAGGUGCGCUGUGAUGUUAUGAUCACCAGUGGAGAGGGAUAUACACAGGGGCUCGCCUGUCUGGAAAAAUAAGCUGGAUGGUCAUUUAAUCCCUCUAACCAGCUGGAAAGAUAAAUAUUCCACGGUGGAGCGUGAGGCCCCUGCGUCUCUCCACUCACGCAGACUGGAGAUGAGGGGAAAAUCUUGCUCUCCGCAGAGAUCAGACGCUCAAGUGCCUUAAUAAAGUUCUCCACCCUGCCAGACAUAGACAAGGGCAUGGCUGCAGAGACCUAUAUAGGCCCCACACACAUUUAGCACAUUUUGUUUUGAAAAAUGCUGCCACUAGGCAACGUAGCCU
Oncorhynchus tshawytscha (Chinook salmon) is the source of this 945-nucleotide long non-coding RNA. RefSeq lists it as uncharacterized. The record is from RefSeq and is a predicted model, not a curated record. The transcript has 3 exons. NCBI's taxonomy places the organism in Eukaryota, Metazoa, Chordata, Actinopteri, Salmoniformes, Salmonidae.